AGAGUUUGAUCCUGGCUCAGGAUGAACGCUAGCGACAGGCCUAACACAUGCAAGUCGAGGGGUAACAGAUAUAAAGCUUGCUUUAUAUGCUGACGACCGGCGCACGGGUGAGUAACACGUAUGCAACCUACCUUUUACAGGAGAAUAACCCAGAGAAAUUUGGACUAAUACUCCAUAAUGUUUUUGUAUCGCAUGAUAUGAGAAUUAAAGUUCCGGCGGUAAAAGAUGGGCAUGCGUCCUAUUAGUUAGUUGGUAAGGUAACGGCUUACCAAGGCUAUGAUAGGUAGGGGUUCUGAGAGGAUAAUCCCCCACAUUGGUACUGAGACACGGACCAAACUCCUACGGGAGGCAGCAGUGAGGAAUAUUGGUCAAUGGCCGCAAGGCUGAACCAGCCAUGUCGCGUGAAGGAUGACUGCCCUAUGGGUUGUAAACUUCUUUUGUAUGGGAAGAAAGGUAUCUACGAGUAGAUAUUUGCCGGUACCAUACGAAUAAG
Molecule: ribosomal RNA, 493 nt
Filed under: uncultured Bacteroides sp.
Lineage: Bacteria; Pseudomonadati; Bacteroidota; Bacteroidia; Bacteroidales; Bacteroidaceae
Description: bacterial SSU rRNA
Rfam family: Bacterial small subunit ribosomal RNA
Source: RNAcentral